Molecule: ribosomal RNA, 254 nt
Filed under: uncultured bacterium
Lineage: Bacteria
Description: partial 16S ribosomal RNA
Rfam family: Bacterial small subunit ribosomal RNA
Source: RNAcentral
CACGUAGGGGGCGAGCGUUGUCCGGAUUUAUUGGGCGUAAAGAGCUCGUAGGCGGUUCACUAAGUCGGGUGUGAAACCUCCAGGCUCAACCUGGAGACGCCACCUGAUACUGGUGUGACUAGAGUCCGGUAGGGGAGUGUGGAACUCCUGGUGUAGCGGUGAAAUGCGCAGAUAUCAGGAGGAACACCGAUGGCGAAGGCAGCUCGCUGGGACGUGACUGACGCUGAGACGCGAAAGCGUGGGGAGCAAACAGG